AGACAUUCCCUUUGAUAUAUUAGGCAUUUCUUAAAUUGUAUCAAACACCAUUUUAUUUUUACAUUAGAUUUACGGAUAUUGCUUAUCAGAGCGCAAUUUUAUUAUUGCUAAGUUGUCAACUACCCUCUAUUUCUAGAAUCAAUAUACUUUGUUACAAUAGUGCCAGGAACAAAGAGCUUUACAAUGUAACUUGUAUUCUUUUACAGGUCAACAACAUCACAUUUUGUACAAAUACGGGACUGAUUUGUUUUGGUGUCUUAAACAUUGAUGUAAGAAAUUUAGAAAUCUUUGAUUUUAAAUUAAGUUAUAAAGCAAAUCAUGUUUGUGGAAGAAGACCCAUCACCCUGUAAAGUGAAAAUAUGUCACUUGGAUAGAAUAAGAUCAAAAUAAUAUCAUGCAUGACAUCAAGCAGAAAAUAAUUUAAAUACAUUUUUCAAUCAUCAGCAACUCUAUAUCCCCAUAAUAAGCCCAAUAAUUAACUAAGAUACCACACAUCAUUCGAAAUUGGUUUUAGUAAUAUUGUUGAAACACUAUCAUCUUGAGUGUUUUCAAUGAAAGUCAGCUAAACUAUAAAAAUGAAUGAUGAUCGUCUUAUUAAUGAAAGUAUUAGUUUAAUAAAUUAAUGAUUAAACUGGUGUAAUGUGGAAAAAUAUGGUUCGGUCAAAUCAUUUUGAUGGAAAAAAUAUAUAUAUUUUGUUCAGGCAGUACAAUAGAUGUUCAGGUGGUGCUUCAACUCAACAAUAUAAUCCAUGGGAGUCAUUUGGACAAACCAAAAGAGCAUGAAAAAGAACAAUCAUUGUACUGCAAAAUAUAUACAUAAUGUAAAUAUUAUGUGUAUAUUUUGCUACACUAAUACAUUCAUUCUCCUGCCAUUUGGUUGACAGAUCAUUGGUCACUACUUACUUGAUCUGUCUAUGGAAUCAACAUUUAGUGGCUGUUCCCUAUACAUCAUCUUCUUUUCUCUUUCAAAACAUGUUGUUUUUGUUGCCACAAAUGGCACUCUAACUCUCAUUGCACAAGUUGUUUUUUGUUCGGUUAUAUGCCCAUAUGGUGCUUCGGAGUUACAGAUUGGCCUAAACUGAAAUGGUAGGCAAAUUGACCAAAAACAAAUCCACAAAUCUAUUAACUAUAUUGAUUAACAUUUUCAUUGAACUAUGUGGUGGAACUCCUAGAGACAUAAUGGUUGUUAUUGUGACUGGACCCUGGUGUUCAGCCUGUCAAGGGAGAUGCAGGUUAGGCGUGGAGCAAAACCUUGCAAAACCGUGGCAAACUUUGCAAAAACUCUGUAUUUUGCUCAAUGAAAGAGUCAAAGUAAUGCUGCUGGGUUACUCAGAGAGAUUGCACGAGCACUGGAAAGAAUAUUUAUGUGACCACACACUUCUCCAACUGGACCACCAGGGCACUAAUACUAUACUCAACACUUAUAUAUCACACUCAGGCAAUCACCAUAAUCAUUCUCAGUCACCACAUACAUUCUUCUCAGCUGUAUUGCUUAGGGGAUGCAAUGAGGGAGGCACUUAUUUUAUUUUUGCACCAGGGCCCAGUGGUUACUACUUGUGACAAUUACCAAAAGAAUAGUAAACAAAAUCUUCAGGGAACAGUUUACAUGCAAUGUAGCACUGUUCCUGGCAUAUUUUCAAGUAUUGUACUGGAGGAUUGUAGGAAGGCAGAUGCCAUUCCUAUAUUUAAAUAGGGUUCAAAAUCCAUGCCUGAAAAUUAUAGACCUGUGAGCUUAACUUCUGUGACUGGGCACCUUUUCUUUCCAUGACAAGCCAGCCCCUAUAUGGGGCAAGAAAAACUACUAUCUUUCCUUUUACUCCCUAUGCUUACACUCUUUAUCAUCAUGCACCCAUAAGCCACCUGAUAGACUUCUUGUAACUACCACAUUCAUACUCACGUAAUAGUAGAUACCACCUCUCGUACGCGCAUGAGAUAUACCUAACCCGCAGGGCAGCUUCACAUAUGAGCUGGCAUACUGCUAUGCCAUACGAGACAGAAGGAACAAAUGCUCACGAGAGGAAGGUGGUGGAUGGCGAACCCAUGCUGGGGUGUAAAAAGACACCACACCACCGAAGAGCAUUGUCCAGGUACAUUUAUACAUGAUGGGGAUAUAGUGGUACUGAGAAUGUGCAUCUAACACGUACAAUGUAAUCAAGCACGGCUCCAAAGAAUGUUAUUUUGUAUUUAAAAAAGUUUCAAAUUGGAUCUGUAUCAUGUACCUACCGAUGUCUUUCACUAAGGCCUGCGAGUCUAAUUUUCCUUUAUCCUCUUCUAAAUAAAAACAAAAAGAUUUCCAAAAAAACCCCAAAACCUUCUGUGACUGGGAAAAUAUUUGAAGGGCUAUUAAGGGAUAAUAUUCAGGAAAUCAUUGGGAAGAACUUUGUUAUUAGCAAUAAUCAACAUGGUUUUAUGAAACAUAGGUCAUUUACAACUAACAUAAUUGCAUUCUACAAAGAAGUAAGUAGAAGUAUAGACCAGGGUGUUGCAGUGGAUGUGAUCUACUUGGAUUUUGCCAAGGCAUUUGAUACAGUUCCUCACAAUAGGUUAGUCUUCAAAGUGAAAGAAAUUGGUCUAGAUGAACAUACUUGUUAUUGGGUAGAACAUUUGCUUAAGGAGAGAGUACAAUGAGUUGUCAUAAAUGGUACAUUUUCAGGCUGGACAAAAGUGGUAAGUGGUGUCCCUCUGGGUUCUGUUUUGGGACUGCUUCUAUUUAACAUAUUUAUGAAUGAUCUUGAAAGAGGCAUUGAAAGCCAUGUUUCAGUGUUUGCAAAUGUCCCAGAACUUUGUAAAGUAAUAAAAUGUGAGCAGGAUACUGCUUUGCUGCAGAGGGAUUUGGUUAGAUUGGGGGACUGGGCACUAAAAUGGCAGAUGAAAUUGAAUGUAGAGAAAUGCAAAGUUAUGCACUUCGGGGUCAAGAAUGCACAAGAAACUUACACCCUAAAUGGUAGUGAAUUAGGAAUAAUCAAACACGAGAACGAUUUGGGAAUUGUUAUAGACAACAAAUUAGGCAGCAAUAUGCAAUGUCAAUCUGCAGUUGCUAUGGCCAGUAAGGAUUUGCCAUGUAUAAAUAGGGGUAUAAAUUCUCGGGAUGAAAAUAUAAUUUUGCCUCUUUAGAAAUCGCUGGUAAAAUCACACCUUGAAUAUGCUCUGCAAUUUUGGGCACCUGUUCUAAAGAAGGAUAUCAUGGCACUAGAACAAGUGCAGAAACGUGCUAGAAAAUUGAUAAAAGGAAUGGAACAUUUUAAUUAUG
Pelobates cultripes (western spadefoot toad) is the source of this 3250-nucleotide non-coding RNA. The record is from the annotation of a GenBank genome assembly. Lineage: Eukaryota; Metazoa; Chordata; Amphibia; Anura; Pelobatidae.